This 90-nucleotide non-coding RNA is filed under the name Pseudomonas fluorescens. The record is from RNAcentral. Lineage: Bacteria; Pseudomonadati; Pseudomonadota; Gammaproteobacteria; Pseudomonadales; Pseudomonadaceae.
UGUGGGAGCGGGCUUGCUCGCGAAUGCGUCGGCAAAUUCAGAAUUUGUGCUGACUGACACACCGCUUUCGCGAGCAAGCCCGCUCCCACA